Molecule: ribosomal RNA, 527 nt
Filed under: uncultured Deferribacterales bacterium
Lineage: Bacteria; Pseudomonadati; Deferribacterota; Deferribacteres; Deferribacterales
Description: bacterial SSU rRNA
Rfam family: Bacterial small subunit ribosomal RNA
Source: RNAcentral
GCGGCGUGCCUAACACAUGCAAGUCGAGCGCGAAAGCUCCUUCGGGAGCCUUAAAGCGGCAGACGGGUGAGUAACACGUGGGUAACCUGUCCCUGAGUGGGGGAUAACUACUCGAAAGGGUGGCUAAUACCGCAUAAGACCACGGCCUUGCGGGGCUGAGGUCAAAGGCGCAAGCCGCUUAGGGAGGGGCCCGCGGCCGAUUAGCUAGUUGGCAGGGUAAUGGCCUACCAAGGCGACGAUCGGUAGCUGGUCUGAGAGGAUGAUCAGCCACACUGGGACUGAGACACGGCCCAGACUCCUACGGGGGGCAGCAGUUGGGAAUCUUGCGCAAUGGGGGCAACCCUGACGCAGCGACGCCGCGUGCGGGAUGACGGUCUUCGGAUCGUAAACCGCUUUUCUCGGGGACGAUAAUGACGGUACCCGAGGAAUAAGCCCCGGCUAACUCCGUGCCANCAGCCGCGGUAAGACGGAGGGGGCAAGCGUUGUCCGGAAUUACUGGGCGUAAAGAGCUCGUAGGCGGUUGCAUA